CGCCGCCGUCUUCGGGUGGCUAACUCCUUAGGAGACUCAGUUCACGUUACGUUUUCUCGGACACCUUCUUUACAUCCUCUGCUGUGGUACUAGAAGAGAGGAUCAGUCCUAUGCCAUCAUGUUGAAAAUGCACCUUUACAGGGACUCUAAGUUCAAGACUGUGAAAUGUUGAGAGACUGGUUCCAGAGCAAUAUAAAAGAAGUACUGGCAAUUCGACUUAGUUUUGAGUGGGAGCAUACAUUUGCCAGGGAGAAAGCAACCCUUGAUGGGCAUGGCCACGCAGCAACCACCCUCUCUGGUUUCGGCUGGGCACACACAAACUCAGUAUGUUUUUUUCAAGCUGCCAGGAACCAAGAUUCAAACCUCAGUAGAACAUGGAGGAUCAGGCCUUCUACGCACAUAGCACUUGACCUCUGUACUACACCCUGGCCCAUUUUAUACAUUUUUUGCUUUACUGAUUACUUCCUGAUUGUUGCCAGACAGUCAGCUCCUUGAGGGCAGUACCACACUUGUCAUGCCCAUCAUUGCCUCCACACUACCUAGCACACACUAAAUAAAAAUACAAUAAAUAGUCCCUGUCGUUGCAUCAAAAAAAAUGUCAGGAUCAAAAGAGAUGUAAUAGGUCUCUAGGUCAGACUUCUCUAUUUGCUUUUCAAAACAUGUGAGCCCUAGGCGAUCUGUCAAUGUCAUGCAAUCUGUCAUUGUCACAGUAUGUCAACGUCUUGGUAACCUCAAUGUCAUGGUUCCUGGCCAGAUAAAUGCAUCUCUUUAUGUUCUGACUGUA
Molecule: long non-coding RNA, 784 nt
Organism: Tupaia belangeri chinensis (Chinese tree shrew)
Lineage: Eukaryota; Metazoa; Chordata; Mammalia; Scandentia; Tupaiidae
Exons: 3
Source: RefSeq, a predicted model, not a curated record